GGGGAUAUAGCUCAGUUGGUAGAGUGCUUGCCUUGCAUGCAAAAGGUCCUGGGUUCAAUUCCCAGUACCACCG
This is a non-coding RNA of Sciurus carolinensis (gray squirrel), 73 nucleotides long. Lineage: Eukaryota; Metazoa; Chordata; Mammalia; Rodentia; Sciuridae. The record is from the annotation of a RefSeq genome assembly.